UGGGGAAUAUUGCACAAUGGGCGCAAGCCUGAUGCAGCGACGCCGCGUGCGGGAUGGAGGCCUUCGGGUUGUAAACCGCUUUUGUUCAUGAGCAAGCCCUUCGGGGUGAGUGUAGUGUUCGAAUAAGCACCGGCUAACUACGUGCCAGCAGCCGCGGUAAUACGUAGGGUGCAAGCGUUAUCCGGAAUUAUUGGGCGUAAAGGGCUCGUAGGCGGUUCGUCGCGUCCGGUGUGAAAGUCCAUCGCUUAACGGUGGAUCUGCGCCGGGUACGGGCGGGCUGGAGUGCGGCAGGGGAGACUGGAAUUCCCGGUGUAACGGUGGAAUGUGUAGAUAUCGGGAAGAACACCAAUGGCGAAGGCAGGUCUCUGGGCCGUCACUGACGCUGAGGAGCGAAAGCGUGGGGAGCGAACAGG
Molecule: ribosomal RNA, 413 nt
Filed under: uncultured Bifidobacterium sp.
Lineage: Bacteria; Bacillati; Actinomycetota; Actinomycetes; Bifidobacteriales; Bifidobacteriaceae
Description: bacterial SSU rRNA
Rfam family: Bacterial small subunit ribosomal RNA
Source: RNAcentral